Long non-coding RNA from Equus asinus (donkey), 1664 nucleotides. The record is from Ensembl. NCBI's taxonomy places the organism in Eukaryota, Metazoa, Chordata, Mammalia, Perissodactyla, Equidae.
CCUACACUGACACACCAUUAUCGCCCAGAAUCCAGAGUUUACAUUAAGGUUCACUCUUGGUGUUGUGAAUUUCUAUGGCUUUGGAGAAAUGUAUAACAAUGUAUCCACCAUUAUAGUAUCAUACUUAGUGUUUGACUGCCCUGAAAAUCCUCUGUGCUUUGCCUAUUUAUCCUCUUACUGUUGAGUUUCUUGUAGACAAUAUAUAGUUGUCCUGCUUUUUUUGUGGAUUACCCCUGAGCUGACAUCUGGCGCCGAUCCUCCUCUUUUCGCUGAGGAAGACUCGCCCUGAGCUAACAUUCGUGCCCAUCUUCCUCUACUUUAUAUGUGGGAUGCCUGCCACAGCAUGGCUUGACAAGAGGUGCGUUGGUCCACACCCGGGAUCUGGGCCUGGGAUCGGAACCGGUGAACCCCAGGCUGCCAAAGCGGAACGUGCGAACCCAACCGCAGCGCCACCAGGCUGGCCCCAGUUGUCUUGCUUUUUGAUUGAUUCUGUCGAUGUCUAUCUUUUAGUUGGUGUAUUUACACCAUUGACAUUUAAAGUGAUUAUCGAUAUAUUUGAAUUAAUACCUACUGUAUUUGUUUCUAUUGUCUACCCAUUGUCUUUGUUCUUUAUUCUUAUUUUUGUCUCCCACCUUUUUUCUGUUAUUUCUGGUUUUAACUGAACAUUUUAUAUGAUUGAUUUUUCUCUCCUUUCUUAGCUUCUUUUUUCACUUUUUUAGUGGUUGCCCUAGAUAAAAUUUGCAAUAUACAUUUACACCCAAGUCCACUUUCAAAUAACACUACACUCCUUCUCGGGUAGUACAAGUACUUUACAAUAACAAAAUGUUCUUAAUCCUUCCUCCUGUCCAUUCCUUAUACCUUGAAUCGAUGCUGUCACUCAUCUCACUUAUACAGAAACAUACGGAACUAUAUAUAUACUUAUAUAUGCAAUUGCAUAUGCUUGCAUAUUAUAUGUAUAAUACAUAAGCAUAUAUAACUGAAUACAUUGCUGCUAUUGUUAUUUUAAAUAAACUGUUAAGAAUAGAAAAAUAAGUUUUUAUUUACCUUCAUUUAUUCUUUCUCCAAGGCUCUUCCUUUUUAGAUCCUAUUUCUGACCUAUAUCAAUUUCCUUCUGUUGGAGGUCAUCGAGAGGGCGUGACUGAUGGUUGACCUGAGAGCUUGAGGUCCCUCCCCGCCGCCCUGUCCUUGGAACGUAUGCUCUGCCCACCAUUCCCACAGUAGGAUCUGUUUUCAAGGACAUAGCCUUGAGAAAGCAACGUGUUGUUGAGACCGUCUGGAUGGACUGAACCCAGUUAAGGCCUCUACUCGUCUUGCGACUGUACAAGGCAAACCUCAUAUAUGAUUGCCUGUCAAAUUGCCUGAACUUGAGGGUUGCCUUAAAAAAAAAAGAGGAGGGGUGAUGGUGACGAGGAUAACAGCAAAUGUCAGAAGGUGUCAAGUCCCAUCCCAUUCGACACCAAACCAAGACUGUCUCCCUGAUGUGAUCAGAAAGAUGGCGGAGAGUUGAAAGAGGAAUCUCAUGCCAAGAUUCAAUACUAGGGCUAUGUCCGUGUACCCCGAAUCAUCUGUGGUGCCAACCAGACCGUGUGUCCCACACUCUGCGAAACUAGCAUCAUGCUCUGAGACCACUGGCUGCACAGUUACAGGCCCAGGAUGGAAUCAAG